RNAcentral lists this ribosomal RNA (468 nucleotides) under uncultured bacterium. RNAcentral describes it as "partial 16S ribosomal RNA". It matches the Rfam family "Bacterial small subunit ribosomal RNA", at positions 28 to 507 of the family's 1533-position model. The record is from RNAcentral.
GACGAACGCUGGCGGCGUGCUUAACACAUGCAAGUCGAACGGAAAGGCCCUGCUUUUGUGGGGUGCUCGAGUGGCGAACGGGUGAGUAACACGUGAGUAACCUGCCCUUGACUUUGGGAUAACUUCAGGAAACUGGGGCUAAUACCGGAUAGGAGCUCCUGCUGCAUGGUGGGGGUUGGAUAGUUUCGGCGGUUGGGGAUGGACUCGCGGCUUAUCAGCUUGUUGGUGGGGUAGUGGCUUACCAAGGCUUUGACGGGUAGCCGGCCUGAGAGGGUGACCGGCCACAUUGGGACUGAGAUACGGCCCAGACUCCUACGGGAGGCAGAAGUGGGGAAUAUUGAAAAAUGGGCGGAAGCCUGAUGCAGCAACGCCGCGUGCGGGAUGACGGCCUUCGGGUUGUAAACCGCUUUCGCCUGUGACGAAGCGUGAGUGACGGUAAUGGGUAAAGAAGCACCGGCUAACUACGUG